UCUCUUCCUUACCUCAUGGGUUUUCUUUUGAGUAUAAUAUUGCAUAGAUUUAUUGGAGGAUUUUUGAGAUUGAAAUCCGGCCACUAUUCACAAAUUGGGGUUUACUGUUUUCUUAAUUGUUGAGGUAGUUCUUGUUGUUUUCUGGCUUGGUGGUAGUUGAAAGAAGUGUUAAGGAUGUUGAGAUGAAGCCGCUGUCAAAAUUUGGUGACCAUCGGAGGAGUUGGCCGACGAGUGAACAGUGCCGCCGAGUGAACAGUGCGGGUGACGUAUCAAAUUACUACUGGGUGAAGGAGCUCUUAUGCGUGGUUGCCUAAAUAGUACUUUUGCAGGCUAGAUUAGUUGAGGUCGGGCGUACAUGGAGUCGAGGCAUAGCCAACAGCAUUGCUUCCGCGUACUCAUUCUAUUUCUGUUUUAUGUGAUACCUAAUAGAUUAAUAUUGCUCUGAUAAGCUGUGGGAUUAAUAUUGUUUUUGGGUUGAGACUGUUAUUUGAGAAAUUGAAGUUGUGAUUUGGGGAGCAGGUGGCUCCAGGAGUAUAAGGUUGGUUUGUUUGAA
Long non-coding RNA from Rosa rugosa (rugosa rose), 553 nucleotides. RefSeq lists it as uncharacterized. The transcript is spliced from 3 exons. NCBI's taxonomy places the organism in Eukaryota, Viridiplantae, Streptophyta, Magnoliopsida, Rosales, Rosaceae. The record is from RefSeq and is a predicted model, not a curated record.